GCCCGGCUAGCUCAGUCAGUAGAGCAUGAGACUCUUAAUCUCAGGAUCGUGGGUUCGUGCCCCAUGUCGGGCG
Erinaceus europaeus (western European hedgehog) is the source of this 73-nucleotide non-coding RNA. The record is from Rfam. Lineage: Eukaryota; Metazoa; Chordata; Mammalia; Eulipotyphla; Erinaceidae.